Molecule: ribosomal RNA, 243 nt
Filed under: Isochrysis galbana
Lineage: Eukaryota; Haptophyta; Isochrysidales; Isochrysidaceae
Description: partial Bacterial large subunit ribosomal RNA
Rfam family: Bacterial large subunit ribosomal RNA
Source: RNAcentral
CCCCGUGCACCUUUACUACAGCUUCACAGUGGUGUUAGUGACGGCAUGUGUAGGAUAGGUGGUAGGCUUUGAAACUUGGGCGCCAGCUCAGGUGGAGCCACCCUUGAAAUACCACCCUUAUCUUCAUUGACAUCUAACCGCGGCCCGUUAUCCGGGUCCGGGACCCUGUGUGGUGGGUAGUUUGACUGGGGCGGUCGCCUCCCAAAUAGUAACGGAGGCGCGCGAUGGUAGGCUCAGACCGGU